AGAGUUUGAUCCUGGCUCAGGAUGAACGCUAGCGGCAGGCUUAACACAUGCAAGUCGAGGGGCAGCAUAAUGGAUAGCAAUAUCUAUGGUGGUCGACCGGCGCACGGGUGCGUAACGCGUAUGCAACCUACCUUUAACAGGGGGAUAACACUGAGAAUUGGUACUAAUACCCCAUAAUAUCAUAGAAGGCAUCUUUUAUGGUUAGAAAAUUUCCGAUUGGGUUAGAGAUGGGCAUGCGUUGUA
This 243-nucleotide ribosomal RNA is filed under the name uncultured bacterium. RNAcentral's name for it is "partial 16S ribosomal RNA". It matches the Rfam family "Bacterial small subunit ribosomal RNA", at positions 8 to 240 of the family's 1533-position model. The record is from RNAcentral.